Benincasa hispida (wax gourd) is the source of this 2559-nucleotide non-coding RNA. NCBI's taxonomy places the organism in Eukaryota, Viridiplantae, Streptophyta, Magnoliopsida, Cucurbitales, Cucurbitaceae. The record is from RefSeq and is a predicted model, not a curated record.
GAUCCUCUUCUAGCCGUAUUUUGAGAGCAACUUCUCUGAGAGAAGAUGUAGGGCGCUGGGCCCAAUAUUCGAUCUAGGACACCAUCAAAUUUAAGAAUUUAAUCCAGCCAAGAAAACAUACACAGGUCUGCUUUUUCAAUUUUCAAGUAUUGAGCCCCGUCUUGUGCGCAGUUCCAGACAAUCUCUCAACACAGAUUCAUCUCUUGCCAAAGCAUUGAUAAUUUGUUAAAAUAUGAUGUAACAUCCAUGGAUCCUUGUUUGCAUUCAUGGACCUGCUUGUGAAGCGUAUAUACUCAAGAGGCAUUCUGUCUCUUUGAGUACAAAUCUCGUGCAGCCUCCCAGAUAUCCUUGGCGGUUGCAGCAUACAAUAAUGGUCUGCCUAUUUAAGGUUCCAUACUAUUCACGAGGACAGAGCAUAACAGCAAGUCUUCUGCUUUCCAGAUCCGUUCUUGAGGAUCACCUGGUACUGGCUUCGGAAUCUCCCCCAUUAAGAACCCAAAUUUGUGACGCCCUUCCAAGGCCAUUCGAAUUAAUUGGGACCAGGAGAAAUAAUUUUGGCCAUUUAAUUUUUCUCCUGCAAGAAAUCCUGCAGAGUUGCCCAUUGAGCCAAAUAAAUAAGAAGCAUGUGGAAAAAUAGGGAACGAAUUUACCGAUUCUCUGAAUAGAUUGGUUAAACCGGUUGGGGAUUUGCGCCGGACAUCUUAUCCAAAUCCGAAAUUUGUUGUUGGAGAUAAGCCAACCAUUGUCUCACAUCAUCUGGGCAUUGGGUCGAGCCAUAAGCGGCUGCAAACGGAGCAGCCACUGAUGGCUGGAAGGAGUUCGUCGGCAAACGUGAAGACCUCAGUCGGCUGGAAUACUCGAGAUGGGUGCUCGACACGGCUCCACGUUGGUCGAACGGACCUGGCGCAGAAGAUUCGACCGGCGUGAGCACGAUCGGCGCGGAUGGCACGGAUGGCAGCGACCCACGGCUUAAAUCGACCGGAUCCGUUCCUGUCUGUCUGUCGAAGACACAUCUGAGCUCAAUCGACAAGGAUUGCAACAUACCUCGGUUGGGCUUGAUUGGAUGUGUUCCUGUCCGAUCGUCAAAGACUCGACUAGGCUCAAUUGGAUUCACCCCUGACCAACCGUUGAAGACAGCGCCGCCCUGGUUUUGGUUGCCGAUCGUGGCUUCUGUCUGCCGUGGCGGCUCCCAUCGACUCCGGCUCUCCAUCGACUCCAGGGACGGCAGAAAUCAACUUCAGUAGGGCUGUUUGAAAACACUCCUUCACGACCGCUCAAAUAGUUGUCUUCAUGUCAAAACUCGAAGUUCCAUCCGCAAAAGGCGACUGUGGUUGGUUCUUUUCCUUAACAACUAGGGUUUCGUCGUCUAGCUUUCAUUCCAUGUUAAAAAAUAGAAGAAGAGAAGAGAAUAAUAACACAGUUAUGUGGAAACCCUAGUAUAGGGAGAAAAACCAUGAUAUAGAGAUCUUUCUUAUUAGUUAAUCUGAUACACUAAAUACACAGGGACACACUGUAUAAAAAGACAGUAGGAAAUCCUAGGGGUCUACACAAUUAUAUAAAGGUCCCUAGGUUAAUAACCCUAUUUUCAACAUUAACAAACUUCCCAUCUUCUGAAAGACCCUUUUACUUUCCAUGAUCGAUCCGGUCAGGACUCAUUUUGCUAGGCCCAACUGAAAGAAAGUUUUCUCCAGAAUUUGUUCGAAGCAUUGUAAUGCCAAAAUAGGAGUAUUCUACUGUGGAGCACCAAUCCUUGAAAAGGAACUUAGCAAUCUUUGCUAUGAAUUCCAUCAAAAGGGCCCAACUAAGUUCGAUUUUCACAAGGAACACUUUGACAAAACAGUUGAAGGGUACACAGAAGCUGACUCUACUACCCCAUAUAUUCGUAACUUUAAACUUCUCCCCAUAUCUUGGAAGGCCUCUUGCCAUGAGUUAAAUUGUAUUGUAUAGUUUUUGAUAGGAAAGAAACAGGAAAAGAAAAACCCAAAAAGAAGGAAAAAAAUAAAAGAACUUAGGAAAAGGGGAGUAUAUGUAUAGAAACAAUGAGACUUUAGGCAUUUGGUAAUUAGUACUUAGUACAACCGCGAAAAUUCCUGGUGGUUGAAGAGACGAAGCUUGGUUGGGAGUUGGAACUUAUCCUUGCCUUGUGGCCUGUCUAUUAAAGUGAUGGGAGGUAAUGGACCUGUGAUGUCAUGUCGUGAGGAGACCCAAAUGUGGUACAGCUGCAAUGAACUUGUUGGUUGAUGAUGACCCAAUAGGAAAGUGAUUGGGUGGUGGGUUAUAGCAGGCAAUUUUGAAAUCCAGAAAGCUAGAAUGCUAUACUGUAUGAGUUUGUGGUGGGAGUAGAGUAGGAUAGGAUUUUGGGUAUUCUUAUCUGCUCAACUUUUUCUUUUCCUCCAUUUUGCUUUGUUUUCUUUUCCAAACUAAGCUUAUAAGUCUUUAGGAAUCCAUCUAGAUUGCUAUUGCUGGUGCAGAGUUUCAGAUUCGAUUCCAUUUAUUUAGAAUAAAAGCAGGGUUGUAAUUUGUAAAUGUAAACCACAGUUAUAUAUUUUGUUCAUCAAA